Molecule: ribosomal RNA, 253 nt
Filed under: uncultured prokaryote
Description: partial 16S ribosomal RNA
Rfam family: Bacterial small subunit ribosomal RNA
Source: RNAcentral
UACGAAGGUGGCAAGCGUUACUCGGAAUUACUAGGCGUAAAGGGCAGGUAGGUGGUUUGAUAAGUCUGUUGUGAAAGCUCCCGGCUCAACUGGGAGAGGCCAACAGAAACUAUCAGGCUUGAGUAAAGGAGAGGGUACUGGAAUUCCCGGUGUAGCGGUGAAAUGCGCAUAGAUCGGGAGGAACACCAAUGGCGAAAGCAGGUACCUGGACUAUUACUGACACUCAACUGCGAAAGCUAGGGGAGCAAACAGG